AGAGCGAACGCUGGCGGCAGGCUUAACACAUGCAAGUCGAGCGGGCGUAGCAAUACGUCAGCGGCAGACGGGUGAGUAACGCGUGGGAACAUACCUUUUGGUUCGGAACAACACAGGGAAACUUGUGCUAAUACCGGAUAAGCCCUUACGGGGAAAGAUUUAUCGCCGAAAGAUUGGCCCGCGUCUGAUUAGCUAGUUGGUGAGGUAAUGGCUCACCAAGGCGACGAUCAGUAGCUGGUCUGAGAGGAUGAUCAGCCACAUUGGGACUGAGACACGGCCCAAACUCCUACGGGAGGCAGCAGUGGGAAUAUUGGACAAUGGGCGCAAGCCUGAUCCAGCCAUGCCGCGUGAGUGAUGAAGGCCCUAGGGUUGUAAAGCUCUUUGUGCGGGAAGAUAAUGACGGUACCGCAAGAAUAAGCCCCGGCUAACUUCGUGCCAGCAGCCGC
This 446-nucleotide ribosomal RNA is filed under the name uncultured bacterium. RNAcentral's name for it is "SSU rRNA". It matches the Rfam family "Bacterial small subunit ribosomal RNA", at positions 26 to 518 of the family's 1533-position model. The record is from RNAcentral.